UACGGGAGGCAGCAGGGGGGAAUAUUGCACAAUGGGCGCAAGCCUGAUGCAGCCAUGCCGCGUGUAUGAAGAAGGCCUUCGGGUUGUAAAGUACUUUCAGUCGUGAGGAAGGUGUUAAGGUUAAUAACCUUAGCAAUUGACGUUAGCGACAGAAGAAGCACCGGCUAACUCCGUGCCAGCAGCCGCGGUAAUACGGAGGGUGCGAGCGUUAAUCGGAAUUACUGGGCGUAAAGGGCACGCAGGCGGUUAAUUAAGUUGGAUGUGAAAUCCCCGGGCUUAACCUGGGAAUGGCAUUCAAGCUGGUUAGCUAGAGUCUUGUAGAGGGGGUAGAAUUCCAUGUGUAGCGGUGAAAUGCGUAGAGAUGUGGAGGAAUACCGGUGGCGAAGGCGGCCCCUGGACAAAGACUGACGCUCAUGUGCGAAAGCGUGGGGAGCAAACAGGGAUUAGAUACC
This 452-nucleotide ribosomal RNA is filed under the name uncultured bacterium. RNAcentral describes it as "bacterial SSU rRNA". It matches the Rfam family "Bacterial small subunit ribosomal RNA", at positions 340 to 786 of the family's 1533-position model. The record is from RNAcentral.